Molecule: non-coding RNA, 73 nt
Organism: Potamilus streckersoni
Lineage: Eukaryota; Metazoa; Mollusca; Bivalvia; Unionida; Unionidae
Source: the annotation of a GenBank genome assembly
GCUUUGGUGGCUUAGUGGUUAGGGCGUCCGCCUCGAAUGCGGGAUGUCGUGGGUUCGAGCCCCAUCCGAGUCA